AUUGAACGCUGGCGGCAUGCCUUACACAUGCAAGUCGAACGGCAGCACGGGGCAACCUGGUGGCGAGUGGCGAACGGGUGAGUAAUGCAUCGGAACGUGCCAUUGAGUGGGGGAUAACGUAGCGAAAGUUGCGCUAAUACCGCAUAUUCUGUGAGCAGGAAAGCAGGGGACCGCAAGGCCUUGCGCUCUUUGAGCGGCCGAUGUCAGAUUAGCUAGUUGGUGAGGUAAAGGCUUACUAAGGCGACGAUCUGUAGCGGGUCUGAGAGGAUGAUCCGCACACUGGAACUGAGACACGGUCCAGACUCCUACGGGAGGCAGCAGUGGGGAAUUUUGGACAAUGGG
Molecule: ribosomal RNA, 342 nt
Filed under: uncultured bacterium
Lineage: Bacteria
Description: bacterial SSU rRNA
Rfam family: Bacterial small subunit ribosomal RNA
Source: RNAcentral